AUAUCAAUAAGCGGAGGACAAGAAACCAACAGGGAUUGCCUCAGUAACGGCGAGUGAAGCGGCAUAAGCUCAAAUUUGAAAUCUGGCCUCUGGCCCGAAUUGUAAUUUGCAGAAGGUGCUUCGGGCGCGACGAUGGUCCAAGUCCCUUGGAACUGGGCGUCAUAGAGGGUGAGAAUCCCGUAUGGCACCAUCCGUCAACCCCGUGUGAAGCCCUUUCGACGAGUCGAGUUGUUUGGGAAUGCAGCUCUAAAUGGGUGGUAAAUUUCAUCUAAAGCUAAAUAUCUGCCAGAGACCGAUAGCGCACAAGUAGAGUGAUCGAAAGAUGAAAAGAACUUUGAAAAGAGAGUUAAACAGUACGUGAAAUUGUUAAAAGGGAAGCGCUCGCAAUCAGACUCGGUUGCAGGAGUUCAGUCGUUCUUUGGAGCGGUGUAUUGUCCUGUUUACGGGCCAGCAUCGGUUUUGGCGGACGGAUAAAGGUCUUGGGAAAGUAGCUCUCUUCGGAGAGUGUUACAGCCUGAGGCGUAAUGCGUCCUGUCGAGACCGAGGAUCGCGCUUCUGCUAGGAUGCUGGCGUAAUGGUUGCUAGCGACCCGUCUUGAAACACGGACCAAGGAGUCGACCAAUCGCGCGAGUGUUUGGGCGUUAAACCCAAGCGCGCAGUGAAAGCAAACGUAGGUGGGAGCCUUCGGGCGCACCAUCGACCGAUCUUGAUGUCUUCGGAUGGAUUUGAGUAUGAGCACGGUCGGUCGGACCCGAAAGAUGGUGAACUAUGCGUGAAUAGAAUGAAGCCAGGGGAAACCCUGGUGGAAGUUCGCAGCGGUUCUGACGUGCAAAUCGAUCGUCAAAUUUGCGCAUAGGGGCGAAAGACUAAUCGAACCGUCUAGUAGCUGGUUCCUGUCGAAGUUUCCCU
RNAcentral lists this ribosomal RNA (909 nucleotides) under Sarcographa ramificans. RNAcentral describes it as "eukaryotic LSU rRNA". It matches the Rfam family "Eukaryotic large subunit ribosomal RNA", at positions 40 to 973 of the family's 3401-position model. The record is from RNAcentral. Lineage: Eukaryota; Fungi; Ascomycota; Lecanoromycetes; Ostropales; Graphidaceae.